RNAcentral lists this non-coding RNA (101 nucleotides) under Emergencia timonensis. Its description in RNAcentral is "yjdF RNA". It matches the Rfam family "azaaromatic riboswitch aptamer (yjdF RNA)", at positions 8 to 89 of the family's 101-position model. The record is from RNAcentral. Lineage: Bacteria; Bacillati; Bacillota; Clostridia; Peptostreptococcales; Anaerovoracaceae.
CGGAGAUAAAAACACAUCCCGGUAGGUAGUCCGGGAGCAGCUAUUGGGGUAUAUAAUCCAAAAGCUGUCAGUAACCUUCCUUCCAGGUCGUCCAUUCUCAC